RNAcentral lists this long non-coding RNA (463 nucleotides) under Hordeum vulgare. Its description in RNAcentral is "long non-coding RNA (HVUL_LNC021073)". The record is from RNAcentral. Lineage: Eukaryota; Viridiplantae; Streptophyta; Magnoliopsida; Poales; Poaceae.
CAUUGAGCCGCCGCACACAAUUCAUCCCUUCCCGUAGAACUUCUUAGUGGAGAACCGCAGACCAUCGCCACCAGCGGCCUAACCCAGCAGCGGCACCCUAGGGAAGAACUCGCUACCUCUUACGGUAAGGCACCCUUGUCGCCAGCCUAAGAAGCAGAUCUAGGCGGGGAUGGCGAUGGCUGACUCCACCUCCCGGUUAGUCUCUCGUCUCCUCUAUCUUACUACUCUAGAUCUCAAUCUAGUUGUUCACUUUUUUUUUUGCUACUCUUCCUCUACCUUCAUCUCAUCGACUCAAUUUUGUUGCUUUGUUCUAGGUCAAGGUAUCGGUUAUUAUUUCCUCUAAUCCACUUGGUCUUAUUGAUUUGAUCUAGAUCAAGGUAUAUGUUCUACUACUCUAGAUCUCAAUCUAGUUGUUCUCUUUGUUUUGCUACUCCUUCCUCCAAUCGACUGUAUCUUGUUGCUU